This 783-nucleotide ribosomal RNA is filed under the name Neopestalotiopsis sp. 'rooticola'. Its description in RNAcentral is "partial large subunit ribosomal RNA". It matches the Rfam family "Eukaryotic large subunit ribosomal RNA", at positions 132 to 937 of the family's 3401-position model. The record is from RNAcentral. Lineage: Eukaryota; Fungi; Ascomycota; Sordariomycetes; Amphisphaeriales; Sporocadaceae.
UUGGGUCCGAAUUGUAAUUUGUAGAGGAUGAUUUUGGUGCGGUAUCUUCCGAGUUCCUUGGAACAGGACGCCUUAGAGGGUGAGAGCCCCGUACGGUUGAAUGCCUAGCCUCUGUAAAUCUCCUUCGACGAGUCGAGUAGUUUGGGAAUGCUGCUCUAAAUGGGAGGUAAAUUUCUUCUAAAGCUAAAUAUUGGCCAGAGACCGAUAGCGCACAAGUAGAGUGAUCGAAAGAUGAAAAGCACUUUGAAAAGAGGGUUAAAUAGCACGUGAAAUUGUUGAAAGGGAAGGAUUUGUGACCAGACUUUUUCUGGGCGGAUCAUCCGGGGUUCUCUCCGGUGCACUUCGCCCAGUAAAGGCCAGCAUCGGUUUUCGGCGUGGGAUAAAAGCAGUAGGAAUGUGGCUCUCUACGGGGAGUGUUAUAGCCUAUUGUAUAAUACCGCGCUGGGGACCGAGGUUCGCGCUUCUGCAAGGAUGCUGGCGUAAUGGUUAUCAAUCACCCGUCUUGAAACACGGACCAAGGAGUCGAACAUUUGUGCGAGUGUUUGGGUGUUAAACCCUCACGCGUAAUGAAAGUGAACGGAGGUGAGAGCCCUUACGGGUGCAUCAUCGACCGAUCCUGAAGUUUUCGGAUGGAUUUGAGUAAGAGCAUAACUGUUCGGACCCGAAAGAUGGUGAACUAUGCGUGGAUAGGGUGAAGCCAGAGGAAACUCUGGUGGAGGCUCGCAGCGGUUCUGACGUGCAAAUCGAUCGUCAAAUCUGCGCAUGGGGGCGAAAGACUAAUCG